RNAcentral lists this ribosomal RNA (233 nucleotides) under uncultured bacterium. Its description in RNAcentral is "partial 16S ribosomal RNA". It matches the Rfam family "Bacterial small subunit ribosomal RNA", at positions 333 to 558 of the family's 1533-position model. The record is from RNAcentral.
CGAGUCCUACGGGGGGCAGCAGUAGGGAAUCUUCCACAAUGGACGAAAGUCUGAUGGAGCAACGCCGCGUGAGUGAAGAAGGGUUUCGGCUCGUAAAGCUCUGUUGGUAGUGAAGAAAGAUAGAGGUAGUAACUGGCCUUUAUUUGACGGUAAUUACUUAGAAAGUCACGGCUAACUACGUGCCAGCAGCCGCGGGAAUACGUAGGUGGCAAACGUUUUCCGGAUUUUUUGGG